RNAcentral lists this small RNA (109 nucleotides) under Escherichia coli. RNAcentral's name for it is "partial RtT sRNA". It matches the Rfam family "RtT RNA", at positions 27 to 130 of the family's 130-position model. Rfam says of the family: This family represents a bacterial cis-regulatory element known as RtT RNA. The exact function of RtT is unknown although it is thought that it may be involved in changing the cellular response in relation to amino acid starvation. Lineage: Bacteria; Pseudomonadati; Pseudomonadota; Gammaproteobacteria; Enterobacterales; Enterobacteriaceae. The record is from RNAcentral.
AACCUCCGGGGGCGGGGAGGUUCGACUCGAGCGAAGCGAGAGAACGUUGCGCCAGCAACGGCCCGCAGGGCGAGCCACGAAGUGGCGAGUAAUCCUCUAUCACCGACCA